Molecule: ribosomal RNA, 301 nt
Filed under: uncultured bacterium
Lineage: Bacteria
Description: partial 16S ribosomal RNA
Rfam family: Bacterial small subunit ribosomal RNA
Source: RNAcentral
CAGUAGCCGCGGUAAUACGCAGGUGGCAAGCGUUGUCCGGAAUUAUUGGGCGUAAAGGGCUCGCAGGCGGUUUCUUAAGUCUGAUGUGAAAGCCCCCGGCUCAACCGGGGAGGGUCAUUGGAAACUGGGAAACUUGAGUGCAGAAGAGGAGAGUGGAAUUCCACGUGUAGCGGUGAAAUGCGUAGAGAUGUGGAGGAACACCAGUGGCGAAGGCGACUCUCUGGUCUGUAACUGACGCUGAGGAGCGAAAGCGUGGGGAGCGAACAGGAUUAGAUACCCCCGUAGUCCCUGUCUCUUAUAC